ACCCCACCCCUCUAACCUCCCAUUCUCUCUCUCCUUCUCUCUCCCUUUCUUUCUCUCUCUCUACCUCUUUCUUUCUCUCUCUCCCUCUCUCUUGCUCUCCCUCCCUCCCUUGCAUCAGUUGCGACAAAGCCCUUGGCUUUCUCUCUCGGCCGAGAGGGCAGCAGUAGUGCGCGAUCUAAUGGCCUUGUGCAAUCUGGCGGCUGAGAGCCUCGAUCUCCUCUCCCUCUCCCUCCCUUUCCUACUUUCCCACUCCAUCUAAGAACCCUUAGAGCAUUUCACAUAUCAUCCAUCUGAGAAGGAAAGACCUAAGUCGUACCCGUUAAUCAUGUAUAGACUUAGAACUGUUAAUCGGGUCAGACCCGCUCUCCAUCUAUGUUAGAGGGGCAGAGGUCAACACCUCCGCCAUGCCCUUGUAUAUCCCUCACCACCCUCUACCAUGCCCCAUACACCC
RNAcentral lists this long non-coding RNA (451 nucleotides) under Phoenix dactylifera (date palm). RNAcentral's name for it is "long non-coding RNA (PDAC_LNC020110)". Lineage: Eukaryota; Viridiplantae; Streptophyta; Magnoliopsida; Arecales; Arecaceae. The record is from RNAcentral.